GAUGAACGCUGGCGGCGUGCCUAAUACAUGCAAGUCGAGCGAACGGACGAGAAGCUUGCUUCUCUGAUGUUAGCGGCGGACGGGUGAGUAACACGUGGAUAACCUACCUAUAAGACUGGUAUAACUUCGGGAAACCGGAGCUAAUACCGGAUAAUAUUUUGAACCGCAUGGUUCAAAAGUGAAAGACGGUCUUGCUGUCACUUAUAGAUGGAUCCGCGCUGCAUUAGCUAGUUGGUAAGGUAACGGCUUACCAAGGCAACGAUGCAUAGCCGACGUGAGAGGGUGAUAGGCCACCCUGGAACUGAGACACGGUCCAGACUCCUACGGGAGGCAGCAGUAGGGAAUCUUCCGCAAUGGGCGAAAGCCUGACGGAGCAACGCCGCGUGAGUGAUGAAGGUCCUCGGAUCGUAAAACUCUGUUAUUAGGGAAGAACAUAUGUGUAAGUAACUGUGCACAUCUUGACGGUAACUAAUCAGAAAGCAACGGCUAACUACGUG
This 497-nucleotide ribosomal RNA is filed under the name uncultured bacterium. RNAcentral describes it as "partial 16S ribosomal RNA". It matches the Rfam family "Bacterial small subunit ribosomal RNA", at positions 28 to 507 of the family's 1533-position model. The record is from RNAcentral.